Molecule: ribosomal RNA, 497 nt
Filed under: uncultured bacterium
Lineage: Bacteria
Description: partial 16S ribosomal RNA
Rfam family: Bacterial small subunit ribosomal RNA
Source: RNAcentral
GAUGAACGCUGGCGGCGUGCCUAAUACAUGCAAGUCGAGCGAACGGACGAGAAGCUUGCUUCUCUGAUGUUAGCGGCGGACGGGUGAGUAACACGUGGAUAACCUACCUAUAAGACUGGGAUAACUUCGGGAAACCGGAGCUAAUACCGGAUGAUAUUUUGAACCGCAUUGUUCAAAAGUGAAAGACGGUCUUUCUGUCACUUAUAGAUGGAUCCGCGCUGCAUUAGCUAGUUGGUAAGGUAACGGCUUACCAAGGCAACGAUGCAUAGCCGACCUGAGAGGGUGAUCGGCCACACUGGAACUGAGACACGGUCCAGACUCCUACGGGAGGCAGCAGUAGGGAAUCUUCCGCAAUGGGCGAAAGCCUGACGGAGAAACGCCGCGUGAGUGAUGAAGGUCUUCGGAUCGUAAAACUCUGUUAUUAGGGAAGAACAUAUGUGUAAGUAACUGUGCACAUCUUGACGGUACCUAAUCAGAAAGCCACGGCUAACUACGUG